Molecule: transfer RNA, 83 nt
Filed under: Thermotogota bacterium ADurb.Bin062
Lineage: Bacteria; Thermotogati; Thermotogota
Description: Thermotogae bacterium ADurb.Bin062 tRNA-Lys
Source: RNAcentral
CUAAACCGUUGCUCGAGGGUGGAGCGCCCGAUCUUUAGUCGGGCAUGCCCUUUGUUUUAUUGUUCCUUUUCGUUUGGUUUGGA